CCUACGGGAGGCUGCAGUCGAGAAUUAUUCACAAUGGGGGAAACCCUGAUGGUGCGACGCCGCGUGGGGGAAUGAAGGUCUUCGGAUUGUAAACCCCUGUCAUGUGGGAGCAAAUUAAAAAGAUAGUACCACAAGAGGAAGAGACGGCUAACUCUGUGCCAGCAGCCGCGGUAAUACAGAGGUCUCAAGCGUUGUUCGGAAUCACUGGGCGUAAAGCGUGCGUAGGCUGUUUCGUAAGUCGUGUGUGAAAGGCGCGGGCUCAACCCGCGGACGGCACAUGAUACUGCGAGACUAGAGUAAGGGAGGGGGAACCGGAAUUCUCGGUGUAGCAGUGAAAUGCGUAGAUAUCGAGAGGAACACUCGUGGCGAAGGCGGGUUCCUGGACAUUAACUGACGCUGAGGCACGAAGGCCAGGGGAGCGAAAGGGAUUAGAUACCCCUGUAGUC
RNAcentral lists this ribosomal RNA (446 nucleotides) under uncultured bacterium. RNAcentral describes it as "partial 16S ribosomal RNA". It matches the Rfam family "Bacterial small subunit ribosomal RNA", at positions 338 to 795 of the family's 1533-position model. The record is from RNAcentral.